This 726-nucleotide ribosomal RNA is filed under the name uncultured archaeon. Its description in RNAcentral is "bacterial SSU rRNA". It matches the Rfam family "Archaeal small subunit ribosomal RNA", at positions 1 to 740 of the family's 1478-position model. The record is from RNAcentral.
UCUGGUGAUCCUGCCGGCGGCCACCGCUAUUGGAAUUCGAUUAAGACAUGUUGAGAUGUACCUAGCAGGCUCGGCGGACGCUCGAUAUUGGAAGGAAUGCCCUUGGGUGGGGGAUAACCUCGGGAAACUGAGAAUAUUACCUUGAGGGAUGGUAGAAAGCUGGAAUGCUUUUAGAUCGAAAACUCCGGUGCCCAAGGAUUGGUCUGCGGCGUAUCAGGUUGUAGUGGGUGUAACGGACCCCCUAGCCUAUGACGCGUAAGGGCCUUGAGAGAGGGAGCCCUGAGAUGGACUCUGAGACAUGAGUCCAGGCCCUACGGGGCGCAGCAGUCGCGAAAACUUCACAAUGGGGGAAACCCCGAUGAGUUUAUUCCAAGUGCCAGCACAUUGUGUUGGCUGUUCUCUGGUCUAAAAAACCGGAGAAGUAAGGGCCGGGUAAGACGGGUGCCAGCCGCCGCGGUAAUACCCGCGGCCCGAGUGGUGGUCGAUAUUAUUGAGCCUAAAACGUCCGUAGCCGGUCUUGUAAAUCCUUGGGUAAAUCGACCAGCUCAACUGUUCGAAGUCCGGGGAGACUGCAAGACUUGGGAUCGGGAGAGGUGAGAGGUACUUCUGGGGUAGGGGUAAAAUCCUGUAAUCCUUAGAAGGACCACCGGUGGCGAAGGCGUCUCACUAGAACGAAUCCGACGUGAGGGACGAAGCCCUGGGGCGCAAACGGGAUUAGAUACCCCG